This 253-nucleotide ribosomal RNA is filed under the name uncultured bacterium. RNAcentral describes it as "partial 16S ribosomal RNA". It matches the Rfam family "Bacterial small subunit ribosomal RNA", at positions 524 to 776 of the family's 1533-position model. The record is from RNAcentral.
UACGGAGGGGGCUAGCGUUGUUCGGAAUUACUGGGCGUAAAGCGCACGUAGGCGGCUUUGUAAGUUAGAGGUGAAAGCCCGGGGCUCAACUCCGGAAUUGCCUUUAAGACUGCAUCGCUAGAAUUGUGGAGAGGUAAGUGGAAUUCCGAGUGUAGAGGUGAAAUUCGUAGAUAUUCGGAAGAACACCGGUGGCGAAGGCGGCGACCUGGUCCGAGACUGACGCUGAGGCGCGAAAGCGUGGGGAGCAAACAGG